This 330-nucleotide ribosomal RNA is filed under the name uncultured eukaryote. RNAcentral describes it as "partial 18S ribosomal RNA". It matches the Rfam family "Eukaryotic small subunit ribosomal RNA", at positions 1470 to 1796 of the family's 1831-position model. The record is from RNAcentral.
CCCUUAGAUGUUCUGGGCCGCACGCGCGCUACACUGAUGCAUUCAACGAGUCUAAAACCUGCUCUGAUAGGGGUGGGUAAUCUUUUGAAUGUGCAUCGUGAUUGGGAUAGAUGAUUGCAAUUUUUCAUCUUCAACGAGGAAUGCCUAGUAAACGCAAGUCAUCAGCUUGCAUUGAUUACGUCCCUGCCCUUUGUACACACCGCCCGUCGCUCCUACCGAUUGAAUGUUCCGAUGAAUGCCAUGGACUGAGAGUAUGAAUGGGUUCGCCUAUUUCUGCUUCUCGGGAAGUGGAGUAAAUCUUAACAUUUAGAGGAAGGAGAAGUCGUAACA